Neofelis nebulosa (Clouded leopard) is the source of this 3501-nucleotide long non-coding RNA. RefSeq lists it as uncharacterized. NCBI's taxonomy places the organism in Eukaryota, Metazoa, Chordata, Mammalia, Carnivora, Felidae. The record is from RefSeq and is a predicted model, not a curated record. The transcript is spliced from 2 exons.
GCGGCGCCGGAAGCCCGGGCCGGGCCUCGGCGCCCGGGAACCUGCCCCGAGUCCCGCACUCCGGCGGCGUCCGAAGUAACCUGUUCCAGGUCCCUCACUCAGGCCCGGCCCAGGCUGACCUUCCCCGGGUUCCCCGAUCCGGCCGGGUCCGGAGUAACCUGCCUCGGCUCCCGGUCUCUAGCGGGGCCGGGGCAGACCUGUUUCGAGUCCCGCUCCGGUGGGGUCCGGGUGAUCUGGUCAGGAUCUACUUCAGGCCGCGUCUUAGGUCACCUGCCCGCAGUCGCCUUCUGGGCGUGUCCGAGGUGACCUGCCGUCGGGGGUGACCUGUCCCCAAGUUUUCCUCCAGCUGAGUCCGUGCCCUGUUCAAGCCAGCUCCGUGGUGAUCCGUCCUCCCUGCCCCACCCCCCACCUGUGGUCCCAGCCGUCUGGGCAUUCCCCCUCGCCCGCCCCCGGUCAUGCCCACUAAACCGCGGGUUCAAAUUUCCCCGGGCCCAGGGACGCUGGAGAGGGCAGGGUCGAAGCUCCCGGAGUAGAAACGGAAUUUUAGCCUCCAGUUGAGAACCCCACACUCGCUGGUUAUGAAGAUUAUUCAAGAGACAGGUUGCGUUUUGUUUUUCCUUCUUGCAUUGCCUGUUGCUGAAACCGACUUGUUAUGUAACUCCCCAGCUCUGUCUUGGAAAAGUUAGGUUUGAGUUUGUUCCUCCAAUGGGGGCAGUGAUAGUGGGUUUUACAUAAGUGGUACUGCCACGUUGGAAAAUGUUGUUUUUAAUGAUGUGAAUGUUUAGGGAAAGCUACUUAGGUAUUUUAAGUUUGGGUUUGGGUUAUGAGAAGUAUUAGGGACGCACUUCCUGAACCUAGGUCCCAGCCCUGGAGUGGCAGAGGGGACUGGCUGGGGUUUUGGGGUGGGAUCCCUUGUCACAGGUGUUCCUUGGCAUGAGGAUCCACUGUCAGGGCUGGGGGAGCCACCCCAUCCUCAGCCAGAGUGAGCUCAGACUCUGUCCUUGGGGGAGGAGGGCUAGCAUUCUAGUUGAUUGAGUCACUCUCGUGGGUAGACCACCCACUUGGAUUUUCUUUUAGCCCCUAAUAGAAGCAGAAAACAUUUGACUCAUUCUAACCCUAGAUUUCCUUAAAAAUAGAUGCCUGAUGGGUGGAGCAUCAGGGAGAACAGGUGUGCAAGUAUGUAUUUUUUCAGCUUGGUUUACAUAUGGUGGAGGAAGAUAGGAGAGAGUUUGCCUGGAGAAACGAAUGAGCCGUUGGACACUCAUGAUGACACCUGUAGACCCCUCUGUUUUCACAGCUGUGAAAUGGGGGUAUAGGAGUUUUAUUUUUGUUACACUUUUCAACAUACCUGAAAUCUGCACUUAUGUUUGGAUGGACCGGAAACAUACAUGAAAUCUGGACUCAAGUUUGGAUGGACCAGAUAACGCUGUUUGUAACUUGUGUCCAGUGCGUCCAGAGGCUGAGGAUAAAGAUCACUCAGUUGAGCGAUGUGCCAUGGUUAGUGGCAGCUCAGGGUUGGUAAAGGUAAUCGUUUUAUUGCAAAUUCUUUUUAAGACUUUUAUUGCAUAUUCUUUAUAUUGGCCAGUGUUUUUCUGGCCAGUGUAAAACAGCUCUGAGUUCUAGUUUUGUUCUUGUAUUCUGUUUGUGAUCAGUGAGUUACAGGGCAUGCCCUUCUCUUUCAGUUGAAAUAAUCUAUUUUUCUGCACCUGAGCACUGAGUUGUAUAAAAUAGGAGCUUUAAAACUCUCCACCAGAGGUAAAUGUUGCAGUUGAGCUCACCUGAGUUCUGAUGACAUCAAAAGGGUUUAUCCUUCUUUACUUUUAAUUAACUCAGAUGACCCACUCACGUGUAGCCCAAGUUUGUGUUUGGGGAAUGGGAGUUACAUCCUUUGUGUCGUAAGAGAAGGCUCUGAAUUUGGGGGCAGGAAAAGUCUGAAUAGAAUUGAAAAGUGGAAAAAAAGUUGAUUCUUCUCUAUGCCAGUUGGUGGCAUUGGCUGCCUACAACAUUUGGAAUUUUCCUUAUUUGUCCUCAAGAGUUGGCUGGGUAACUAACUGUACAGUGGGGCUUCCAGAAAGACUCAAACCCAUUCUGAAUGCCUUUUGAUUUUAUCUUAUUGAAUGAGUAGCUGUAACUUAUCAAGUGCUGUGCAGCUACUUCUGUUUCACAGCUUUCUUGAGAUAGAAUCCAUGUAGCAUACAGUUUGCCCAUUUAAAGUGUACAGUUCAGUAGCUUUUAGUACGUUCAGAGUUGUGCAGCCCUCACCAUCGUCAAUUUUGGCAUAUUUUCAUCACCCUAAAAAGAAACCCCAUACCUCUUAGCUUGUCAAUCCUCCUUUCUCCAACCCCAGGCAGCCACUGAUCUUUCUGUCUCAGGUUUACCUACUGUGGACAUUUGAUAUAAAUGACAAUAUGUGGUCUUUUGUGUCUCGUUUCUUUCACCAAGUAUGUUUUCAAGGUUCAUCCAUGCUGUAACAUGUAUCUACUACCAUUUCUUUUUUGACUGAACAGUAUUCCACAGUACAGACAGACCACAUUUUGUUUAUCCACUCAUCUGUUGGUGGACAUUUGGGUUGUUUAUCCUUGUAGCUAUUAUAAAUAAUGCUGCUGUGAACAUUCAUGUGCAGGUUUCUGUGUGGCUGUAGGUGAAAUUGCUGGGUUGUGUGGUAACUCUGUGCAUAACCUUUGCAGGAGCUGCCAGGCUCCUUCCCAGCGUGCAGCCACUUUUGAUACCAGUUUUGCUUAGUUGGUUUUACCUGAAAGUUUGUUUAAAAAUUUUUUUUUAACGUUUAUUAUUGAGAGACAGAGAGACACAGAGCAUGAGCAGGGGUGGGACCGAGAGAUGGAGAGACACAGAAUCUGAAGCAGGCUCCAGGCUCUGAGCUGUCAGCACAGAGCCCGACACGGGGCUCCAACUCACAAACCGCGAGAUCCUGACCUGAGCCGAAGUCGGACGCUUAACCGACUGAGCCACCCAGGCGCCCCUACCUGAAAGUUUGCUUAAAGGCAGAAUGUGUGUCCCUGCCAGGGUAGGAGAAUGGCACAGGGGUGACUCCUGCUGAGCUACAAGUUGGUUCAAAUAACAUUUGUUUUGCUUAUGAAAUGUAACUGAUAUUUAUCAAAGCCUUCCAGAUCAUGGAAUGAAAAGUGCUGACAUAAUCCUGCCAAGUGUCCUUAAGAUACAAGGGACCAUUUUCUUUUGCCUAUCUGACUCUUCGUGGGCCCUUCCCCCGCCCAUCAAAGGGCAGGGAAAGGUAAUUUCAGAAGUGCUUUGCAUAAUAGUUGGUGUUAUAAACCUUCUGCCCUGCGCCCCUGGAAUAUAUCCUUUUGAUGGUUGCUACUGUCAUGUUUUCUCCAAAUAUGGGAAUUAUGGUAAAGAUGUAAGAGUUGGGAACACUACCCAGGCAGAAAAAGGAAUUGAUACACACAAUGAUAUGGAUGCAUCUCAGAAUAAUUCUGGGUAAAAGAAGCACUCUGACCAAAAAAAAAAAAAAAAAAAAAAGAA